Molecule: microRNA precursor, 84 nt
Filed under: Otolemur garnettii (small-eared galago)
Lineage: Eukaryota; Metazoa; Chordata; Mammalia; Primates; Galagidae
Description: miRNA (ENSOGAG00000023167.1)
Source: RNAcentral
AUGGCCAAGCAUCCUGGUUUGUCUGGGACUGAGGAGUUACCAGGACACUGGCCUUGAAGCUCUAAAACCAGGAAAGUUCUAGGU